GCGUUAUCCGGAUUCACUGGGUUUAAAGGGUGCGUAGGUGGGUCUGUAAGUCAGUGGUGAAAUCUCCAGGCUUAACCUGGAAACUGCCAUUGAUACUAUAGGUCUUGAAUUUUCUGGAGGUAAGCGGAAUAUGUCAUGUAGCGGUGAAAUGCUUAGAUAUGACAUAGAACACCAGUUGCGAAGGCGGCUUGCUGCAGUAACAUUGACACUGAGGCACGAAAGCGUG
This 226-nucleotide ribosomal RNA is filed under the name uncultured bacterium. RNAcentral's name for it is "partial 16S ribosomal RNA". It matches the Rfam family "Bacterial small subunit ribosomal RNA", at positions 538 to 763 of the family's 1533-position model. The record is from RNAcentral.